Equus caballus (horse) is the source of this 1765-nucleotide long non-coding RNA. The record is from Ensembl. NCBI's taxonomy places the organism in Eukaryota, Metazoa, Chordata, Mammalia, Perissodactyla, Equidae.
GCUCCCUCUCACCUGCCCUGCCCCCCCAGAGGGCCUGGUAUUUACACAAGGUAAACAAUCACAUUUUAUUUAACAAGUAAACAUGUGCCUGGAGGAUAACAUGCUCUCAACCCAUGACUUUGCUCACACUGGCCCCUCAGCCUGGAAUGCCCUCCUUCCCCAAAGCUCUGCCCUAACAGAGGCCCCCGGCAACAGCUUUGGGCCUUUUCCGGCCCUCCCCAAGCCCCAGACAAAGCCACACAAUCUUGCUCGCUUGAUCACCAGGCACUCUUCUGAGGCACAACUUUACUGCGGUGUAAUUCACGUCCUAUAUGAUCCGCCAUUGAAAGCGCCCACUGAACGGUGUUUAGUGUACUCACAGAGCAGACCCCUGCUUUCACUCUGUUUGCAUUGUCGUCUGCUGUGCUUGUUCGUUCGUCUGUUAAUUCACUCACCCAAAAAAAGCUUUUUUUUAUGUGCUGGCUCCGGGCAGGGCAGGCAAUGGAGACAGAAGUGAACAGGAAAGGCAGGUCCCUGCCCCCUUGGAGGGUGUGUCCACUGAAGACAGUCAACAGAAGUACACCAACAAUCAGUUACCAAUGUGUCAUGAUGGAGCUUUAACUCUCCUGGGAGUGAAAGGUGCUUGCAGCGGGCUGAAUGGUGGCCCCCCCAAAAGAUGUGUCUACAUUCUAAUCCUGGAACCUGUGAAUGUGACCUUACCUAGAAAAAGGAUCCUUGCAAAUGUAAUUAAGCUAAGGAUCUGGAGACAAGGUGGUCAUCCUAGAUUAUCUGGGUGGCCCUAAAUCCAAUGACAAGUGUCCUUAUAAGAGACACACAGGAGAAGACAUACGCAGAGGAGAAGGCCAUGUGAAGACAGAGGCAGAGAGUGGAGUAAUGUGGCCACAAGCCAAGGAAGUGAGCAAUCACUAGAAGCAGGAAGAGGAAGGCACGCAUUCUCCCCUUGAGCCCCGGAGAGAGCACGGACACCUUGAUUUCAGACUUCUAGCCUCCAGAACUUUACAGUCCUGAAUCUUUCUGAUGCUCAAAUUGUCCCUGGCCAGUGGGAGACACUUCAAGCAGGCUCUUAAGCUCACAUACCCCAGGGCUCUGACAGCUUCCCUACCCUGGUAAAACAAGAUGUCCCAGGACCACCUGUGCACCUGCUGCCCCUGACCAGCACCAGCCCUUCUCGAAGACAUACUGGUUCCUUUUGGUGGAAAAUUUCUUUUGAUUUUGAUGUUUUCUUCUCCAGAUAAAAUUAAAUUGAAAGUUAUCUAUAAUACAAAGACAAAGAAUGAAACAAAUGCUGGCUUUUGUACUUUUCUACUAGCAGAAAAGUUUAAGUUACAUUAAGACUUUAAAUACAGCAGGCUUACCGAUUAGGUGAUGAAAAGGCUGGCAUGCAUUCAGCCAGGUUAAUCUCAUAUCCUCUUAUUGUACUAUUCUUGAUCUAGCUCACCAAUUAAUUUUAGGGUAAAUUUCACCAAAGUCACAUGUAAUUUGAGUUUGGGCUUGAAUAUUAAGUGUUGGCUUAUUAGAAAGCCCAAAUUCAUCUUCUGUUCAGUGCAAAGGCCUUCCCAGUGACAACUCAUUUCACCAGAGUCCUCCAGUCGAACGUGGGCUUUCAGGUGGAGCCUGUAAUCCCAGCCCACGCCACUCCAGAGGUGUGCUGCAAACACCCCUAACGUGUUUUAACUCAAUCCAAAUGUUCCUUGAGUUUUAAUGAAAAAACUUAACAGUUGCAGAGUUGAACUGUUUAAUAUGUUAACAAAAUUAAAGAUCUGAA